CGCUUCGGCGUGUGACUGCGUACCUUUUGUAUAAUGGGUCAGCGACUUAUAUUCUGUAGCAAGGUUAACCGAAUAGGGGAGCCGAAGGGAAACCGAGUCUUAACUGGGCGUUAAGUUGCAGGGUAUAGACCCGAAACCCGGUGAUCUAGCCAUGGGCAGGUUGAAGGUUGGGUAACACUAACUGGAGGACCGAACCGACUAAUGUUGAAAAAUUAGCGGAUGACUUGUGGCUGGGGGUGAAAGGCCAAUCAAACCGGGAGAUAGCUGGUUCUCCCCGAAAGCUAUUUAGGUAGCGCCUCGUGAAUUCAUCUCCGGGGGUAGAGCACUGUUUCGGCAAGGGGGUCAUCCCGACUUACCAACCCGAUGCAAACUGCGAAUACCGGAGAAUGUUAUUACGGGAGACACACGGCGGGUGCUAACGUCCGUCGUGAAGAGGGAAACAACCCAGACCGCCAGCUAAGGUCCCAAAGUCAUGGUUAAGUGGGAAACGAUGUGGGAAGGCCCAGACAGCCAGGAUGUUGGCUUAGAAGCAGCCAUCAUUUAAAGAAAGCGUAAUAGCUCACUGGUCGAGUCGGCCUGCGCGGAAGAUGUAACGGGGCUAAACCAUGCACCGAAGCUGCGGCAGCGACACUAUGUGUUGUUGGGUAGGGGAGCGUUCUGUAAGCCUGUGAAGGUGUGCUGUGAGGCAUGCUGGAGGUAUCAGAAGUGCGAAUGCUGACAUAAGUAACGAUAAAGCGGGUGAAAAGCCCGCUCGCCGGAAGACCAAGGGUUCCUGUCCAACGUUAAUCGGGGCAGGGUGAGUCGACCCCUAAGGCGAGGCCGAAAGGCGUAGUCGAUGGGAAACAGGUUAAUAUUCCUGUACUUGGUGUUACUGCGAAGGGGGGACGGAGAAGGCUAUGUUGGCCGGGCGACGGUUGUCCCGGUUUAAGCGUGUAGGCUGAUUUUCCAGGCAAAUCCGGAAAAUCAAGGCUGAGGCGUGAUGACGAGGCACUACGGUGCUGAAGCAACAAAUGCCCUGCUUCCAGGAAAAGCCUCUAAGCAUCAGGUAACAUCAAAUCGUACCCCAAACCGACACAGGUGGUCAGGUAGAGAAUACCAAGGCGCUUGAGAGAACUCGGGUGAAGGAACUAGGCAAAAUGGUGCCGUAACUUCGGGAGAAGGCACGCUGAUAUGUAGGUGAAGCGACUUGCUCGUGGAGCUGAAAUCAGUCGAAGAUACCAGCUGGCUGCAACUGUUUAUUAAAAACACAGCACUGUGCAAACACGAAAGUGGACGUAUACGGUGUGACGCCUGCCCGGUGCCGGAAGGUUAAUUGAUGGGGUUAGCGGUAACGCGAAGCUCUUGAUCGAAGCCCCGGUAAACGGCGGCCGUAACUAUAACGGUCCUAAGGUAGCGAAAUUCCUUGUCGGGUAAGUUCCGACCUGCACGAAUGGCGUAAUGAUGGCCAGGCUGUCUCCACCCGAGACUCAGUGAAAUUGAACUCGCUGUGAAGAUGCAGUGUACCCGCGGCAAGACGGAAAGACCCCGUGAACCUUUACUAUAGCUUGACACUGAACAUUGAGCCUUGAUGUGUAGGAUAGGUGGGAGGCUUUGAAGUGUGGACGCCAGUCUGCAUGGAGCCGACCUUGAAAUACCACCCUUUAAUGUUUGAUGUUCUAACGUUGGCCCGUUAUCCGGGUUGCGGACAGUGUCUGGUGGGUAGUUUGACUGGGGCGGUCUCCUCCUAAAGAGUAACGGAGGAGCACGAAGGUUGGCUAAUCCUGGUCGGACAUCAGGAGGUUAGUGCAAUGGCAUAAGCCAGCUUGACUGCGAGCGUGACGGCGCGAGCAGGUGCGAAAGCAGGUCAUAGUGAUCCGGUGGUUCUGAAUGGAAGGGCCAUCGCUCAACGGAUAAAAGGUACUCCGGGGAUAACAGGCUGAUACCGCCCAAGAGUUCAUAUCGACGGCGGUGUUUGGCACCUCGAUGUCGGCUCAUCACAUCCUGGGGCUGAAGUAGGUCCCAAGGGUAUGGCUGUUCGCCAUUUAAAGUGGUACGCGAGCUGGGUUUAGAACGUCGUGAGACAGUUCGGUCCCUAUCUGCCGUGGGCGCUGGAGAACUGAGGGGGGCUGCUCCUAGUACGAGAGGACCGGAGUGGACGCAUCACUGGUGUUCGGGUUGUCAUGCCAAUGGCACUGCCCGGUAGCUAAAUGCGGAAGAGAUAAGUGCUGAAAGCAUCUAAGCACGAAACUUGCCCCG
Molecule: ribosomal RNA, 2235 nt
Filed under: Escherichia coli
Lineage: Bacteria; Pseudomonadati; Pseudomonadota; Gammaproteobacteria; Enterobacterales; Enterobacteriaceae
Description: partial 23S ribosomal RNA
Rfam family: Bacterial large subunit ribosomal RNA
Source: RNAcentral